This 440-nucleotide ribosomal RNA is filed under the name uncultured bacterium. Its description in RNAcentral is "partial 16S ribosomal RNA". It matches the Rfam family "Bacterial small subunit ribosomal RNA", at positions 377 to 795 of the family's 1533-position model. The record is from RNAcentral.
CCUCCUUGUGUCCUCCUUUUUUCCUCUUUUCCCCUUUUGUGCCCCCUGCUCCCGCGACGCCGCGUGAGUGAAGAAGUAUUUCGGUAUGUAAAGCUCUAUCAGCAGGGAAGAAAAUGACGGUACCUGACUAAGAAGCCCCGGCUAACUACGUGCCAGCAGCCGCGGUAAUACGUAGGGGGCAAGCGUUAUCCGGAUUUACUGGGUGUAAAGGGAGCGGAGACGGUGCAGCAAGUCUGAUGUGAAAGGUCGGGGCCCAACCCCGGGACUGCAUUGGAAACUGUUGAACUGGAGUACAGGAGAGGUAAGCGGAAUUCCUAGUGUAGCGGUGAAAUGCGUAGAUAUUAGGAGGAACACCAGUGGCGAAGGCGGCUUACUGGACUGUAACUGACGUUGAGGCUCGAAAGCGUGGGGAGCAAACAGGAUUAGAUACCCGAGUAGUC